AAACCUGAGAAACCCGAAAGUUCGAAAGGAGAGAUUCACCGCGAUUCGUGUCGUCGACGCGUACGCGUACGGACUUCGUCCGGACUUCGGUCUCGGACGGGCCGAACGCGUGCCGUUCGGACGUGCGAUCGCGUGCACUUCUCUCCCUGUAGGACGUCGCGACCCGUUUGGUGUCGGCCUACGGUCGACGGUGGAGCUCGUGAGUGAAGGGGGUGAUCGCCUUAAAAACGAUCUCUCUCUAUCUCUCUCGCUAACCCGUCGUAACCCGGUCGACUCGCUAGACGGUAGUUAAGAAGGGCGCGGGGCCGCGACUAGUUCGCGUCCGGCCCGUCGCAAGCAAGUUCGGUAAUUCGGUGUUCUCGGAGUCCUCGCGUCUCCGGUCCCGGAUCCGAACUACUGUUGGCGACGGUCAGUCUCGGACAGACUCCGUAUACACGCCCGUCGGCGACGCUAUCGCUUUGGGUACUUUCAGGACCCGUCUUGAAACACGGACCAAGGAGUCUAGCAUGAGCGCGAGUCUUAGGGACUCUUUUACGAAACCUAAAGGCAAAAUGAAAGUGAAGGUCCGCCUCGGUGCGAGACCUAGGGAAGAUGGGUAGCUCUCUCCUUAACAGGGGGGCGGCCCCGCAUUCCCGGGGCGUCUCGAUCUCAUCGCGAGAUGAGGCGCACCCAGAGCGUACACGCA
This 685-nucleotide ribosomal RNA is filed under the name Pseudister sp. USNM1. Its description in RNAcentral is "eukaryotic LSU rRNA". It matches the Rfam family "Eukaryotic large subunit ribosomal RNA", at positions 386 to 810 of the family's 3401-position model. The record is from RNAcentral. Lineage: Eukaryota; Metazoa; Arthropoda; Insecta; Coleoptera; Histeridae.